UACGUAGGGCGCAAGCGUUGUCCGGAAUUAUUGGGCGUAAAGAGCUCGUAGGUGGUUUGUCGCGUUGUCCGUGAAAACUCACAACUCAAUUGUGGGCGUGCGGGCGAUACGGGCAGACUGGAGUACUGCAGGGGAGACUGGAAUUCCUGGUGUAGCGGUGGAAUGCGCAGAUAUCAGGAGGAACACCAAUAGCGAAGGCAGCUCGCUGGGACGUUACUGACACUGAGGCGCGAAAGCGUGGGGAGCGAACAGG
This 253-nucleotide ribosomal RNA is filed under the name uncultured bacterium. RNAcentral's name for it is "partial 16S ribosomal RNA". It matches the Rfam family "Bacterial small subunit ribosomal RNA", at positions 524 to 776 of the family's 1533-position model. The record is from RNAcentral.